UGAGUCGUCGUCUAAUAAUUUUUGCUACCUUAUUCUUUAGUUUUGUGUACUUAAUUUACAUGAGACUUGGCUUGGAGUUUUCUGUUUCUGAGUUGUCGGAAGGUUCCGAUCAGCCGACAGGAGAGAUAGUGGUCCCCGGUCUGGACCGUUCCACCACUCCUUCUUCCGGUCCCAGCUCUUCCCGGGGAUCACCGACCACCUGUUGGCCCAAGAGCCCGUCAGAGGCCUUCUCUUUUACCCUCUUCGAUCACUUCAAACUACCUGGUGACGACGACCGGUUUAAAGGAUACUCUCCCGAUCAGUUCUUGGUGGCCUAUGUUCGAGCUCAGACCCAGGUAAUUCCCUUUGUCAAUCUGAUUGCUGCUAUUAACUUUGACCUUUCCUUCUUGUACUGAUGUAUGUGUUUACUGCAGGCCAACGCUAUACUCGCCCGAGCCAUCCCUCCCCUCGCCCGAUCCACAAAGAAAG
Molecule: long non-coding RNA, 468 nt
Filed under: Panax ginseng (ginseng)
Lineage: Eukaryota; Viridiplantae; Streptophyta; Magnoliopsida; Apiales; Araliaceae
Description: long non-coding RNA (PGIN_LNC003571)
Source: RNAcentral